Molecule: ribosomal RNA, 467 nt
Filed under: uncultured bacterium
Lineage: Bacteria
Description: partial 16S ribosomal RNA
Rfam family: Bacterial small subunit ribosomal RNA
Source: RNAcentral
ACGAACGCUGGCGGCGUGCUUAACACAUGCAAGUCGAACGGAAAGGCUCUGCUUUUGUGGGGUGCUCGAGUGGCGAACGGGUGAGUAACACGUGAGUAACCUGCCCUUGACUUUGGGAUAACUUCAGGAAACUGGGGCUAAUACCGGAUAGGAGCUCCUGCUGCAUGGUGGGGGUUGGAAAGUUUCGGCGGUUGGGGAUGGACUCGCGGCUUAUCAGCUUGUUGGUGGGGUAGUGGCUUACCAAGGCUUUGACGGGUAGCCGGCCUGAGAGGGUGACCGGCCACAUUGGGACUGAGAUACAGCCCAGACUCCUACGGGAGGCAGCAGUGGGGAAUAUUGCACAAUGGGCGGAAGCCUGAUGCAGCAACGCCGCGUGCGGGAUGACGGCCUUCGGGUUGUAAACCGCUUUCGCCUGUGACGAAGCGUGAGUGACGGUAAUGGGUAAAGAAGCACCGGCUAACUACGUG